Molecule: unclassified non-coding RNA, 336 nt
Filed under: soil metagenome
Description: partial contains 5.8S ribosomal RNA, internal transcribed spacer 2, and large subunit ribosomal RNA
Rfam family: 5.8S ribosomal RNA (bases 1-120)
Source: RNAcentral
GAUGAAGAACGUAGCGAAAUGCGAUAAGUAAUGUGAAUUGCAGAAUUCAGUGAAUCAUCGAAUCUUUGAACGCACAUUGCGCCCGCCAGCAUUCUGGCGGGCAUGCCUGUCCGAGCGUCAUUUCAACCCUCAAGCUCUGCUUGGUGUUGGGGCCCUACGUCUGACGUAGGCCCUCAAAGACAGUGGCGGACCCUCUCGGAGCCUCCUUUGCGUACUAACUAACGUCUCGCACUGGGAUUCGGAGGGACUCUUGCCGUAAAACCCCCAAUUUUUACAGGUUGACCUCGGAUCAGGUAGGAAUACCCGCUGAACUUAAGCAUAUCAAUAAGCGGAGGA